This 371-nucleotide ribosomal RNA is filed under the name Peltophryne guentheri (Guenther's Caribbean toad). RNAcentral's name for it is "partial 12S ribosomal RNA". It matches the Rfam family "Bacterial small subunit ribosomal RNA", at positions 801 to 1384 of the family's 1533-position model. Lineage: Eukaryota; Metazoa; Chordata; Amphibia; Anura; Bufonidae. The record is from RNAcentral.
CGUAAACUUUUACUUACAUUAAAUCGCCAGGGAACUACGAGCUAAGCUUAAAACCCAAAGGACUUGACGGUACCCCAUAUCCCCCUAGAGGAGCCUGUCCUAUAAUCGAUAAUCCACGUUUAACCUCACCAUUUUUUGUUAAUCAGCCUGUAUACCUCCGUCGCCAGCUUACCACGUGAGCGAUUUUUAGUGAGCUUAAUGUUUUUACACCAACACGUCAGGUCAAGGUGCAGCAAAUGAAAUGGGAAGAGAUGGGCUACACUUUCUAUUCUAGAAAAAACGAAAAACUAUUUAUGAAAAUCUAGUUGGAAGGCGGAUUUAGCAGUAAAAAGAAAUCAACAUGUUCAUUUUAACCCGGCACUGGGGUGUGU